GCGGGAGUAACUCAGUGGCAGAGUGCUAGCUUCCCAAGCUGGACGUCGCGGGUUCGAAUCCCGUCUCCCGCU
Molecule: transfer RNA, 72 nt
Filed under: Phycisphaerae bacterium
Lineage: Bacteria; Pseudomonadati; Planctomycetota; Phycisphaerae
Also listed under: 6 other names
Description: tRNA-Gly
Rfam family: tRNA
About the family: Transfer RNA (tRNA) molecules are approximately 80 nucleotides in length. Their secondary structure includes four short double-helical elements and three loops (D, anti-codon, and T loops).
Source: RNAcentral